CCUGCCCUUAGAUUGUAGGUGUGGCCGCUGUGUCACAUGUACAUCAGGAGGUGGCAGAGGAGAGAGGCUAUGUCUACACUCAGUGUUCAGACCUAUGACCAUUCCAAUAAUUAGAUUAAUUUU
This is a small nucleolar RNA of Rattus norvegicus (Norway rat), 123 nucleotides long. Ensembl annotates it as small nucleolar RNA SNORA17. NCBI's taxonomy places the organism in Eukaryota, Metazoa, Chordata, Mammalia, Rodentia, Muridae. The record is from Ensembl.